RNAcentral lists this ribosomal RNA (403 nucleotides) under Verrucomicrobiota bacterium. RNAcentral describes it as "Verrucomicrobia bacterium partial 16S ribosomal RNA". It matches the Rfam family "Bacterial small subunit ribosomal RNA", at positions 355 to 776 of the family's 1533-position model. Lineage: Bacteria; Pseudomonadati; Verrucomicrobiota. The record is from RNAcentral.
UGGGGAAUAUUGCACAAUGGGCGCAAGCCUGAUGCAGCAACGCCGCGUGAACGAUGAAGGUCUUCGGAUCGUAAAGUUCUGUUGCAGGGGAAGAUAAUGACGGUACCCUGUGAGGAAGCCCCGGCUAACUACGUGCCAGCAGCCGCGGUAAUACGUAGGGGGCUAGCGUUAUCCGGAUUUACUGGGCGUAAAGGGUGCGUAGGUGGUCUUUCAAGUCGGUGGUUAAAGGCUACGGCUCAACCGUAGUUAGCCUCCGAAACUGGAAGACUUGAGUGCAGGAGAGGAAAGUGGAAUUCCCAGUGUAGCGGUGAAAUGCGUAGAUAUUGAGAGGAACACCAGUAGCGAAGGCGGCUUUCUGGACUGCAACUGACACUGAGGCACGAAAGCGUGGGUAGCAAACAGG